Molecule: ribosomal RNA, 576 nt
Filed under: Colletotrichum sp. XN-1-2
Lineage: Eukaryota; Fungi; Ascomycota; Sordariomycetes; Glomerellales; Glomerellaceae
Description: eukaryotic LSU rRNA
Rfam family: 5.8S ribosomal RNA (bases 204-357)
Source: RNAcentral
UCCGUAGGGGGAACCUGCGGAGGGAUCAUUACUGAGUUUACGCUCUACAACCCUUUGUGAACAUACCUACAACUGUUGCUUCGGCGGGUAGGGUCUCCGCGACCCUCCCGGCCUCCCGCCUCCGGGCGGGUCGGCGCCCGCCGGAGGAUAACCAAACUCUGAUUUAACGACGUUUCUUCUGAGUGGUACAAGCAAAUAAUCAAAACUUUUAACAACGGAUCUCUUGGUUCUGGCAUCGAUGAAGAACGCAGCGAAAUGCGAUAAGUAAUGUGAAUUGCAGAAUUCAGUGAAUCAUCGAAUCUUUGAACGCACAUUGCGCCCGCCAGCAUUCUGGCGGGCAUGCCUGUUCGAGCGUCAUUUCAACCCUCAAGCUCUGCUUGGUGUUGGGGCCCUACAGCCGAUGUAGGCCCUCAAAGGUAGUGGCGGACCCUCCCGGAGCCUCCUUUGCGUAGUAACUUUACGUCUCGCACUGGGAUCCGGAGGGACUCUUGCCGUAAAACCCCCCAAUUUUCCAAAGGUUGACCUCGGAUCAGGUAGGAAUACCCGCUGAACUUAAGCAUAUCAAUAAGACGGAGG